Molecule: ribosomal RNA, 468 nt
Filed under: uncultured bacterium
Lineage: Bacteria
Description: partial 16S ribosomal RNA
Rfam family: Bacterial small subunit ribosomal RNA
Source: RNAcentral
GACGAACGCUGGCGGCGUGCUUAACACAUGCAAGUCGAACGGAAAGGCACUGCUUUUGUGGGGUGCUCGAGUGGCGAACGGGUGAGUAACACGUGAGUAACCUGCCCUUGACUUUGGGAUAACUUCAGGAAACUGGGGCUAAUACCGGAUAGGAGCUCCUGUUGCAUGGUGGGGGUUGGAAAGUUUCGGCGGUUGGGGAUGGAUUCGCGGCUUAUCAGCUUGCUGGUGGGGUAGUGGCUUACCAAGGCUUGGACGGGUAGCUGGCCUGAGAGGGUGGCCGGCCACAAUGGGACUGAGAUACGGCCCAGAGUCGUACGGGAGGCAACAGUGGGAAGUAUUGCACAAUGGGCCGAAGCCUGAUGCAGCAACGCCGCGUGCGGAAUGACGGCCUUCGGGGUGUAAACCGCUUUCGCCUGUGACGAAGCGUGAGUGACGGUAAUGGGUAAAGAAGCACCGGCUAACUACGUG